CCAGACUCCUACGGGAGGCAGCAGUGGGGAAUAUUGCGCAAUGGGCGGAAGCCUGAUGCAGCAACGCCGCGUGCGGGAUGACGGCCUUCGGGUUGUAAACCGCUUUCGCCUGUGACGAAGCGUGAGUGACGGUAAUGGGUAAAGAAGCACCGGCUAACUACGUGCCAGCAGCCGCGGUGAUACGUAGGGUGCGAGCGUUGUCCGGAUUUAUUGGGCGUAAAGGGCUCGUAGGUGGUUGAUCGCGUCGGAAGUGUAAUCUUGGGGCUUAACCCUGAGCGUGCUUUCGAUACGGGUUGACUUGAGGAAGGUAGGGGAGAAUGGAAUUCCUGGUGGAGCGGUGGAAUGCGCAGAUAUCAGGAGGAACACCAGUGGCGAAGGCGGUUCUCUGGGCCUUUCCUGACGCUGAGGAGCGAAAGCGUGGGGAGCGAACAGGCUUAGAUACCCUGGUAGUCCACGCUGUAAACGGUGGGUACUAGGUGUGGGGUCCAUUCCACGGGUUCCGUGCCGUAGCUAACGCUUUAAGUACCCCGCCUGGGGAGUACGGCCGCAAGGCUAAAACUCAAAGGAAUUGACGGGGGCCCGCACAAG
Molecule: ribosomal RNA, 588 nt
Filed under: uncultured bacterium
Lineage: Bacteria
Description: bacterial SSU rRNA
Rfam family: Bacterial small subunit ribosomal RNA
Source: RNAcentral